RNAcentral lists this ribosomal RNA (433 nucleotides) under uncultured bacterium. Its description in RNAcentral is "partial 16S ribosomal RNA". It matches the Rfam family "Bacterial small subunit ribosomal RNA", at positions 29 to 507 of the family's 1533-position model. The record is from RNAcentral.
AACGAACGCUGGCGGCAUGCCUAACACAUGCAAGUCGAACGAGACCUUCGGGUCUAGUGGCGCACGGGUGCGUAACGCGUGGGAACCUGCCUUUAGGUUCGGAAUAACUCAGAGAAAUUUGAGCUAAUACCGGAUGAUGUCUUCGGACCAAAGAUUUAUCGCCUUUAGAUGGGCCCGCGUUGGAUUAGCUAGUUGGUGGGGUAAAGGCCUACCAAGGCGACGAUCCAUAGCUGGUCUGAGAGGAUGAUCAGCCACACUGGGACUGAGACACGGCCCAGACUCCUACGGGAGGCAGCAGUGGGGAAUAUUGGACAAUGGGCGAAAGCCCGAUCCAGCAAUGCCGCGUGAGUGAUGAAGGCCUUAGGGUUGUAAAGCUCUUUUACCCGAGAUGAUAAUGACAGUAUCGGGAGAAUAAGCUCCGGCUAACUCCGUG